GAUGAAGAACGCAGCGAAAUGCGAUACUUGGUGUGAAUUGCAGAAUCCCGUGAACCAUCGAGUUUUUGAACGCAAGUUGCGCCCGAAGCCAUUAGGCCGAGGGCACGCCUGCCUGGGCGUCACACGUUGUUGCCCCCCCAUCUACUCCUUCGGGAUUGCGGGGGGCGGAUGAUGGCCUCCCGUGCGCCUCGUCGCGCGGUUGGCAUAAAUGCCAAGUCCUCGGCGACGCACGCCACGACAAUCGGUGGUUGCGAAACCUCGGUUGCCCGUCGUGUGCGGUCGUCGCGCAUCGAGGGCUCGAAAAAAUUGCCGGGCUCCGGCUCGGCUUUCAACGCGACCCCAGGUCAGGCGGGGUUACCCGCUGAAUUUAAGCAUAUCAAUAAGCGGAGGA
RNAcentral lists this unclassified non-coding RNA (391 nucleotides) under soil metagenome. RNAcentral describes it as "partial contains 5.8S ribosomal RNA, internal transcribed spacer 2, and large subunit ribosomal RNA". The stretch from base 1 to 122 matches the Rfam family "5.8S ribosomal RNA", at positions 35 to 154 of the family's 154-position model. The record is from RNAcentral.